RNAcentral lists this small RNA (390 nucleotides) under Drosophila willistoni. Its description in RNAcentral is "GK26840". The record is from RNAcentral. Lineage: Eukaryota; Metazoa; Arthropoda; Insecta; Diptera; Drosophilidae.
AAUCAAUUUAUUAAGCGAGAAAGGAAAUCUGAUCUGGGGAGACUGGAGAAAGCAAAACUCAUUAUUAUCGUCUGCAAUUGGUCAAGAGCAAGUGAGAGCUGUAAGCCCAAUAUAAACCGUUCAAUGACAGCGGCCGCAGCAGCAUUUGCUGUUGCUUCUGUUGUCUUCUGUGCGGCUUUUGUGACGUGGUCGUCGUGGACAUAUUCGUUGUCGUCAUCUCUGUUGUCCGCCCACAGUUAACACGUUCAGUGUUGGACUAGAAGUGCUCUGAGCAAGAGCCAUCGAAGGAUCUCCAAGAAGAGGGUGAAAGCAAACUGAUCAGCCGAACCACACGCCCAGCCAGUUAACCAGCCACGCCAGCCAACUAAACGAAAAUCAACCAACCAACCA